GACGAAGGGGGCUAGCGUUGUUCGGAAUUACUGGGCGUAAAGCGCGUGUUAGGCGGUUGUUCAAGUCAGGUGUGAAAGCCUUGAGCUCAACUCAAGAAAUGCACUUGAUACUGGAUGACUGAGGAGCCGGAGAGGAUAGUGGAAUUCCCAGUGUAGUGGUGAAAUACGUAGAGAUUGGGGAAGAACACCAGUGGCGAAGGCGGCUAUCUGGGACGGUUUCUGACG
Molecule: ribosomal RNA, 225 nt
Filed under: uncultured bacterium
Lineage: Bacteria
Description: partial 16S ribosomal RNA
Rfam family: Bacterial small subunit ribosomal RNA
Source: RNAcentral